UACGUAGGGUCCGAGCGUUGUCCGGAAUUACUGGGCGUAAAGCGCGCGCGGGCGGCUUCCCAAGCGCCACGUGAAAGCCCCGGGCUCAACCCGGGAGGGUCGCGGCGAACUGGGAGGCUUGAGGCCGGUAGAGGUGGGUGGAACUCCUGGUGGAGUGGUGAAAUGCGUAGAGAUCAGGAAGAACACCCGUGGCGAAGGCGGCCCACUGGGCCGGUGCUGACGCUGAGGCGCGAAGGCGUGGGGAGCGAACGGG
Molecule: ribosomal RNA, 253 nt
Filed under: uncultured bacterium
Lineage: Bacteria
Description: partial 16S ribosomal RNA
Rfam family: Bacterial small subunit ribosomal RNA
Source: RNAcentral